This 405-nucleotide ribosomal RNA is filed under the name uncultured bacterium. Its description in RNAcentral is "bacterial SSU rRNA". It matches the Rfam family "Bacterial small subunit ribosomal RNA", at positions 87 to 507 of the family's 1533-position model. The record is from RNAcentral.
UCGAGCGAGUGGCGAACGGGUGAGUAACGCGUGAGGAACCUGCCUCAAAGAGGGGGACAACAGUUGGAAACGACUGCUAAUACCGCAUAAGCCCACGACCGGCAUCGGGUUGAGGGAAAAGGAGCAAUCCGCUUUGAGAUGGCCUCGCGUCCGAUUAGCUAGUUGGUGAGGUUAACGGGCCCACCAAGGCGACGAUCGGUANCCGGACUGAGAGGUUGAACGGCCACAUUGGGACUGAGACACGGCCCAGACUCCUACGGGAGGCAGCAGUGGGGAAUAUUGCACAAUGGGGGAAACCCUGAUGCAGCGACGCCGCGUGGAGGAAGAAGGUCUUCGGAUUGUAAACUCCUGUUGUUGAGGAAGAUAAUGACGGUACUCAACAAGGAAGUGACGGCUAACUACGUG